GAAAGAUUCAUCGGAAGAGGAUGGGCAUGCGGCGCAUUAGCUAGACGGCGGGGUAACGGCCCACCGUGGCGACGAUGCGUAGGGGUUCUGAGAGGAAGGUCCCCCACACUGGUACUGAGACACGGACCAGACUCCUACGGGAGGCAGCAGUAAGGAAUAUUGGUCAAUGGGAGAGAUCCUGAACCAGCCAAGCCGCGUGAGGGAAGACGGCCCUAUGGGUUGUAAACCUCUUUUGUCGGAGAACAAAACCCGGGACGUGUCCCGGACUGCGUGUAUCCGAAGAAAAAGCAUCGGCUAACUCCGUGCCAGCAGCCGCGGUAAUACGGAGGAUGCGAGCGUUAUCCGGAUUUAUUGGGUUUAAAGGGUGCGUAGGCGGUCCGUUAAGUCAGCGGUAAAAUUGCGGGGCUCAACCCCGUCGAGCCGUUGAAACUGGCAGACUUGAGUUGGCGAGAAGUACGCGGAAUGCGCGGUGUAGCGGUGAAAUGCAUAGAUAUCGCGCAGAACUCCGAUUGCGAAGGCAGCGUACCGGCGCCAGACUGACGCUGAGGCACGAAAGCGUGGGGAUCGAACAGGAUUAGAUACCCUGGUAGUCCACGCAGUAAACGAUGAAUGCUGGUUGUCCGGGUCGAAUGAGAUCUGG
This 640-nucleotide ribosomal RNA is filed under the name uncultured bacterium. RNAcentral describes it as "bacterial SSU rRNA". It matches the Rfam family "Bacterial small subunit ribosomal RNA", at positions 202 to 842 of the family's 1533-position model. The record is from RNAcentral.